AGAGUUUGAUCCUGGCUCAGGAUGAACGCUGGCGGCGUGCCUAAUACAUGCAAGUCGAGCGAACGGACGAGAAGCUUGCUUCUCUGAUGUUAGCGGCGGACGGGUGAGUAACACGUGGAUAACCUACCUAUAAGACUGGGAUAACUUCGGGAAACCGGAGCUAAUACCGGAUAAUAUUUUGAACCGCAUGGUUCAAAAGUGAAAGACGGUCUUGCUGUCACUUAUAGAUGGAUCCGCGCUGCAUUAGCUAGUUGGUAAGGUAACGGCUUACCAAGGCAACGAUGCAUAGCCGACCUGAGAGGGUGAUCGGCCACACUGGAACUGAGACACGGUCCAGACUCCUACGGGAGGCAGCAGUAGGGAAUCUUCCGCAAUGGGCGAAAGCCUGACGGAGCAACGCCGCGUGAGUGAUGAAGGUCUUCGGAUCGUAAAACUCUGUUAUUAGGGAAGAACAUAUGUGUAAGUAACUGUGCACAUCUGACGGUACCUAAUCAGAAAGCCACGGCUAACUACGUGCCAGCAGCCGCGGUAAUACGUAGGUGGCAAGCGUUAUCCGGAAUUAUUGGGCGUAAAGCGCGCGUAGGCGGUUUUUUAAGUCUGAUGUGAAAGCCCACGGCUCAACCGUGGAGGGUCAUUGGAAACUGGAAAACUUGAGUGCAGAAGAGGAAAGUGGAAUUCCAUGUGUAGCGGUGAAAUGCGCAGAGAUAUGGAGGAACACCAGUGGCGAAGGCGACUUUCUGGUCUGUAACUGACGCUGAUGUGCGAAAGCGUGGGGAUCAAACAGGAUUAGAUACCCUGGUAGUCCACGCCGUAAACGAUGAGUGCUAAGUGUUAGGGGGUUUCCGCCCCUUAGUGCUGCAGCUAACGCAUUAAGCACUCCGCCUGGGGAGUACGACCGCAAGGUUGAAACUCAAAGGAAUUGACGGGGACCCGCACAAGCGGUGGAGCAUGUGGUUUAAUUCGAAGCAACGCGAAGAACCUUACCAAAUCUUGACAUCCUUUGACAACUCUAGAGAUAGAGCCUUCCCCUUCGGGGGACAAAGUGACAGGUGGUGCAUGGUUGUCGUCAGCUCGUGUCGUGAGAUGUUGGGUUAAGUCCCGCAACGAGCGCAACCCUUAAGCUUAGUUGCCAUCAUUAAGUUGGGCACUCUAAGUUGACUGCCGGUGACAAACCGGAGGAAGGUGGGGAUGACGUCAAAUCAUCAUGCCCCUUAUGAUUUGGGCUACACACGUGCUACAAUGGACAAUACAAAGGGCAGCGAAACCGCGAGGUCAAGCAAAUCCAUAAAGUUGUUCUCAGUUCGGAUUGUAGUCUGCAACUCGACUACAUGAAGCUGGAAUCGCUAGUAAUCGUAGAUCAGCAUGCUACGGUGAAUACGUUCCCGGGUCUUGUACACACCGCCCGUCACACCACGAGAGUUUGUAACACCCGAAGCCGGUGGAGUAACCUUUUAGGAGCUAGCCGUCGAAGGUGGGACAAAUGAUUGGGGUGAAGUCGUAACAAGGUAGCCGUAUCGGAAGGUGCGGCUGGAUCACCU
Molecule: ribosomal RNA, 1538 nt
Filed under: Staphylococcus aureus
Lineage: Bacteria; Bacillati; Bacillota; Bacilli; Caryophanales; Staphylococcaceae
Description: 16S ribosomal RNA
Rfam family: Bacterial small subunit ribosomal RNA
Source: RNAcentral